Molecule: ribosomal RNA, 253 nt
Filed under: uncultured bacterium
Lineage: Bacteria
Description: partial 16S ribosomal RNA
Rfam family: Bacterial small subunit ribosomal RNA
Source: RNAcentral
UACGGGGGGGGCAAGCGUUGUUCGGAAUUACUGGGCGUAAAGGGCUCGUAGGCGGCCAACUAAGUCAUACGUGAAAUCCCUCGGCUUAACCGGGGAACUGCGUCUGAUACUGGAUGGCUUGAGAUUGGGAGAGGGAUGCGGAAUUCCAGGUGUAGCGGUGAAAUGCGUAGAUAUCUGGAGGAACACCUGUGGUGUAGACAGCUUACUGGACCAUUUCUGACGCUGAGACACGAAAGCGUGGGUAGCAAACAGG